RNAcentral lists this ribosomal RNA (252 nucleotides) under uncultured prokaryote. RNAcentral describes it as "partial 16S ribosomal RNA". It matches the Rfam family "Bacterial small subunit ribosomal RNA", at positions 524 to 774 of the family's 1533-position model. The record is from RNAcentral.
UACGGAGGAUGCAAGCGUUAUCCGGAUUUAUUGGGUUUAAAGGGUGCGUAGGCGGCUUUUUAAGUCAGCGGUGAAAUUUUGCAGCUUAACUGUAACAGUGCCGUUGAUACUGCUGGGCUAGAGAUUGGUUGCUGUGGGCGGAAUGUGUGGUGUAGCGGUGAAAUGCUUAGAGAUCACACAGAACAACGAUUGCGAAGGCAGCUCACAAAGCCACAUCUGACGCUGAGGCACGAAAGCGUGGGGAGGCAAACA